AUAAUACGCCCUUUAAUUGGGGGCUAGAAUGAAUGGAUAAACGAAGGUUAAGCUGUCUCUUCUAUACAAUUAUAAAUUUACCCUCAGGUGAAAAGGCCUGAAAUCUAUUAAAAGACAAAAAGACCCCGUAGAGCUUUAUUAUUAAAAAGUACAAAAAAUAUACCCUAUAUUUCUUUCUACGCAGCACAUAAUUUUACUGGGGCGGUAUAAGAGCAAAUAACCCUCUUAUUUAAUACAAGGGAACCACCCGCACUCUGAUCCUAUAUAGAUUAAAGAAACAAGCUACCUCGGGGAUAACAGGCUUAUUUCUUUUAAGAGUACUUAUCGAAAAAGAAGU
RNAcentral lists this ribosomal RNA (337 nucleotides) under Praxillella cf. kerguelensis GK-2017. Its description in RNAcentral is "partial 16S ribosomal RNA". It matches the Rfam family "Bacterial large subunit ribosomal RNA", at positions 1964 to 2517 of the family's 2925-position model. The record is from RNAcentral. Lineage: Eukaryota; Metazoa; Annelida; Polychaeta; Maldanidae.